CCUACGUGUGGCAGCAGUGGGGAAUAUUGCGCAAUGGGCGAAAGCCUGACGCAGCGACGCCGCGUGAGGGAUGAAGGUCUUCGGAUCGUAAACCUCUGUCAGCAGGGAAGAACGGUCACUGUGCUAAUCAGCAGUGAAUUGACGGUACCUGCAAAGGAAGCACCGGCUAACUCCGUGCCAGCAGCCGCGGUAAUACGGAGGGUGCGAGCGUUAAUCGGAAUUACUGGGAGUAAAGCGAUCGUAGGCGGUAUGUCAAGUCAAGGGUGAAAUCCCCGCGCUCAACGUGGGAACUGCCUGUGAAACUGGCAAACUGGAGUGUGUGAGAGGAUAGUGGAAUUCCAGGUGUAGGAGUGAAAUCCGUAGAUAUCUGGAGGAACAUCAGUGGCGAAGGCGACUAUCUGGCACAUAACUGACGCUGAGGAGCGAAAGCGUGGGUAGCAAACAGGAUUAGAUACCCUAGUAGUC
This 465-nucleotide ribosomal RNA is filed under the name uncultured bacterium. RNAcentral's name for it is "partial 16S ribosomal RNA". It matches the Rfam family "Bacterial small subunit ribosomal RNA", at positions 338 to 795 of the family's 1533-position model. The record is from RNAcentral.